RNAcentral lists this ribosomal RNA (405 nucleotides) under uncultured prokaryote. Its description in RNAcentral is "bacterial SSU rRNA". It matches the Rfam family "Bacterial small subunit ribosomal RNA", at positions 355 to 774 of the family's 1533-position model. The record is from RNAcentral.
UGGGGAAUUUUGGACAAUGGGCGAAAGCCUGAUCCAGCCAUGCCGCGUGAGUGAAGAAGGCCUUCGGGUUGUAAACUUCUUUUGGCAGGGACGAAAAAAAUGACGGUACCUGCAGAAUAAGCUCCGGCUAACUACGUGCCAGCAGCCGCGGUAAUACGUAGGGAGCAAGCGUUAUCCGGAUUUACUGGGUGUAAAGGGCGCGUAGGCGGGAAUGCAAGUCAGAUGUGAAAUCUGGGGGCUCAACCCCCAAACUGCAUUUGAAACUGUAUUUCUUGAGUGAUGGAGAGGCAAGUGGAAUUCCUAGUGUAGCGGUGAAAUGCGUAGAUAUUAGGAGGAACACCAGUGGCGAAGGCGACUUGCUGGACAUUAACUGACGCUGAGGCGCGAAAGCGUGGGGAGCAAACA